GAGAGAGAGAGAGAGAGAGAGAGAGAGAGAGAGAGAGAGAGAGAGAGAGAAGCUGGAGACUUCUGUUUGUCAUUAGAAUUUGAAAGUGGGACCGUUACUUUUGGCAUGGGAGACGUCCAUCACAGAGCUACUUUCUGUUUAGUAUUGAAAAUCCAGGAAUUUAAUCCAGCCUUGGCACCAAUGAGGAACUUUCUUUCUUUCUUUCUUUCUUUCUUUCUUUCUUUCUU
Non-coding RNA from Podarcis lilfordi (Lilford's wall lizard), 227 nucleotides. The record is from the annotation of a GenBank genome assembly. NCBI's taxonomy places the organism in Eukaryota, Metazoa, Chordata, Lepidosauria, Squamata, Lacertidae.